This 29-nucleotide non-coding RNA is filed under the name Homo sapiens (human). The record is from RNAcentral. Lineage: Eukaryota; Metazoa; Chordata; Mammalia; Primates; Hominidae.
UUCGCAAAAUCUGAUGGCAUUAUGCUCCC